This 377-nucleotide unclassified non-coding RNA is filed under the name uncultured bacterium. RNAcentral's name for it is "contains 16S-23S intergenic spacer region". The record is from RNAcentral.
UCCGGUUUGGCACCGGCAGUCGUCCUAGAGUCCCCGCCAUUACGCGCUGGCAACUAAUGGCAAGGGUUGCGCUCGUUGCGGGACUUAACCCAACAUCUCACGACACGAGCUGACGACAGCCAUGCAGCACCUCGACUCCUGUCCCUUGCGGGAAGACCGUGUUUCCACAGUUGUUCAUGAGCCGUUCGAGCCUAGGUAAGGUUCUUCGCGUUGCGUCGAAUUAAACCACAUGCUCCUCCGCUUGUGCGGGCCCCCGUCAAUUCCUUUGAGUUUCAGUCUUGCGACCGUACUCCCCAGGUGGAUUACUUAAUACUUUCGUUCAGACGCUGACAGUGUAUCGCCAACAUCGAGUAAUCAUCGUUUACGGCGUGGACUAC